This 218-nucleotide unclassified non-coding RNA is filed under the name soil metagenome. RNAcentral's name for it is "partial contains 5.8S ribosomal RNA, internal transcribed spacer 2, and large subunit ribosomal RNA". The record is from RNAcentral.
AACAUCGCGCACCUGCGGGAACCUGCGGAAGGAUCAUUACAGAGUUGCAAGACUCCCUAAACCAUUGUGAACCUACCUUCUACCGUUGCUUCGGCGGGCGGGCCCAGCGCCCCCCCGGCCCCCCGCGGGCGCCCGCCGGAGGAUACCCAAACUCUUGACAUUAGUGGCCUCUCUGAGUAUUCUUUACUGAAUAAGUCAAAACUUUUAGCAAUGGAUCU